GCCACAUAGGUCAGUUGGUAGGAGCAUGGGACUCUUAAUCUCAAGGAUGUGGGUUUGAGCCCCACAUGGGGUG
Non-coding RNA from Podarcis lilfordi (Lilford's wall lizard), 73 nucleotides. NCBI's taxonomy places the organism in Eukaryota, Metazoa, Chordata, Lepidosauria, Squamata, Lacertidae. The record is from the annotation of a GenBank genome assembly.